This 371-nucleotide RNase P RNA is filed under the name Bacillota bacterium. RNAcentral describes it as "Firmicutes bacterium (anaerobic digester metagenome) RNase P RNA component class A". It matches the Rfam family "Bacterial RNase P class A". From Rfam's summary of the family: Ribonuclease P (RNase P) is a ubiquitous endoribonuclease, found in archaea, bacteria and eukarya as well as chloroplasts and mitochondria. Its best characterised activity is the generation of mature 5'-ends of tRNAs by cleaving the 5'-leader elements of precursor-tRNAs. Lineage: Bacteria; Bacillati; Bacillota. The record is from RNAcentral.
GUAACUGCAUCAGGUAACCGCGGGUACAAUGCCGCGAGGCUGUAUCUGAGGAAAGUCCGAGCUCCAUAGGGCAGGGUGCUGGAUAACAUCCAGUGGGGGCGACCCUAAGGAAAGUGCCACAGAAAAGAAGACGCCGAAUGAAUGGAAACAUUCAUGGCAAAGCUGAAACGGUGCGGUAAGAGCGCACCAGCGCUCAAGCAAUUGAGCGACUUGGUAAACCCCACCCGGAGCAAGACCAAAUAGGAGGGAGAUAAGGCGGCCCGUCUUUCCCUCGGGUUGGUCGCAUGAGGUAUUGGGCAACCAAUAUCCCAGAUAAAUGGUUACCGCCGGCGUAGCCGGUACAGAACUCGGCUUAUCGAGCAGUUACAGUC